GGAACAACUACAAGGUUCCUCUUCUCUUUCGAUUGCUCGUCCCGCUCUCAACCACUCUCUCACGCGGUAUCCCUCUUAAGCUCGUGGUUUCUCGUCCUCUCUCGGUUGGAACAACAACGAACUAUGAUUCACCUCACUGAGCUAUGACAACAAUGGCGGCCAUGGAAGAAUCUUGAAGAACCCGGGUACGAUUCUUUACAAAUUUCGUUUUUUUGUUCUUUUUAAUGAUAACUCAGUGACAUCUCUCUCUUUCUAUUUCGAAUUUUACCCGCGGUGAACAGCAACAACAGCUCACACUCUCGGUUUCUCACGGUGGAGGACUCUCUCUCUCUCUCUCUCUCAGUGAAUGAUUUUCGGCCAUGGGAGAAGAACCAGAGGAGAAAUCUAGGGAACUAUGUUUACAGCAGCAAUAAUAUUUUGAGAGUAAGAGUGGAAUUGACUUACCUACGGUGAGGAGAUUUUCACCGGUUAUUGUUGAGGUUGAUGAAGAUGAUGAGCGAACAAUUCGUAAACACGGGGCUGCAACUGGAGGCUUUUGAUGAAGGUGAUGCCACAACACCUCUUUGGACUUAUGGGAGCGCCUUGAAGAUGGAACUUCAAGUUGUUGGAAGCUUGAAGAUGAAGAUCUUCAAGAAAGGUAUGAAGAACUACCUUUUCCUUCUUCCUUACUUUGUAACUAGAAUGCUCACCUCCAAUAUAGAAUCUCUUGGCUUGAGAAUUUCUUCUUGCCAAGAGGUCUAUUGAACAAUAUAUGAGCAAUAGAGAGAAGAGAGAAAGCAAGAAUUUAAGUUGCUUUGGUGUGACAAAUACUAUGGAGAGCCCUUCUAUUUAUAGGCAAAAAUUAGGAUAUGUUAGGUAUUAUGUAACUUUGUAGUCAAGUUUGUGAUUCUUGUAAGAAAGGAAUAUCCAAAAUGACAUAAGCCAAAGAUUCCUCUAUGACAUAAGCCAAAAGAUUCCUUUAUGACAUAAGCCA
Molecule: long non-coding RNA, 973 nt
Organism: Vicia villosa (hairy vetch)
Lineage: Eukaryota; Viridiplantae; Streptophyta; Magnoliopsida; Fabales; Fabaceae
Exons: 4
Source: RefSeq, a predicted model, not a curated record